Dreissena polymorpha is the source of this 1219-nucleotide long non-coding RNA. RefSeq lists it as uncharacterized. The record is from RefSeq and is a predicted model, not a curated record. The transcript has 2 exons. NCBI's taxonomy places the organism in Eukaryota, Metazoa, Mollusca, Bivalvia, Myida, Dreissenidae.
GCUUAAUAAUAAGAUAUUUUUGUCAGUUUUCAUUGAACGGGACAAAAUUCACAGAUGGCUAAAAUUGGAUAAAGAUUAGUAAGAAACAAUGCAAAACGUCAGUCUAUGUACAAUACGUGGUAACAGAAAUUGUAUACAACAUACUACUAGAUUUAAAUUAAUACUGAUAAAAUGACUAUACAUGUAUUAAUUUCAGUUAUUUCAGGCUGAAACAUUUAUCAUGACAGAUCAGGGUGCAGGAUCACGUGACUUUGUGGGGUUCCCAAUUAAACAUUAAUGGACUUGAACACACCGCCCGUGUGAAAACCCCCGAGAACCCUGUUGAUUCGGCACUUUGUAGACAUGUUCAUUCGCUACAACCACCUGAACAAACCCGAAUGGAAACAUCCCGUCCGUGUGGCCCUCGGCGCUGAAUUUUGCUCGCCAGUCGUUGAUCAUGGCCUGGAAGCGGCACUUGUAUGAGUCAGGAGCGCCUGCAUUGGCCUCUCCUGCAGAAUCAGCCCAAAGUUAGGGCCAUUCUUGAACCCACACUAUGUAUAUAUAUACCACUAUAUGAUGUGCGUUAUGGAUAAACAAUCAUAGUGGAUUAAUGCGAAUGUGGAUAUAGACGAUGGCGAUUUUAAAAUACAGUUACGACAAAUGGUGGCAUAAAUAAUAUUGAACUAGAGAGGCUAGUGUUAGCAUUGUUGGGACUAAGUAUGUACUCGAACCGACCAGUUGCUAAAACAUACACGCCUGAUACGAUCUGUUCUCAUAAGGUUGAUUGUCUCAGGAUUUGAAGUAAAACGAUUAAAUUAUACGUACAAUUGCUAAACGUAGAAUUUACCAAAAAAACGAAAACACAUAAGCAGUCAUUAAGUUCCUUGAUUGACAUAUUUGACUAGUGAGCAAAAAUCAUAAUUUAAACGUAACUGGUGCAUCUAGUAAAUAUUUGACGUAUUUAUUUAAAUAAAUACUCUGCCAGGUGAUGUCAGUUACAAAUUAUGAACAUAUACUAGUAUGACACAGUCAAGUUACUAAAUCGAUCAUAAACUUUUUAGCACGCAUGAUCAACGCGUUUACGUACCUUGGUACCAGAUGGCGCCAUAGAUGGUCAUAUUCAGAAGCGGAUUUAUCAUGGCGUUCCAGAGCUGGGUGGGCGUGUUUUGGUCGGCCACACCAAAGUUAGGCACAGCUGAAUUGGGGCGUUCCACGAUAGACGGCGCAUCAGACUGGAGAA